GACGUAGGGGGCGAGCGUUGUCCGGAGUUACUGGGCGUAAAGGGCGCGCAGGCGGCCAGGUGCGCCGUGCCGUGAAAGCCCCCGGCUCAACCGGGCGGAUGCGGGCGGGACGGCCUGGCUGGAGGGUGGCAGAGGCGGGCGGAAUUCCCGGUGUAGUGGUGAAAUGCGUAGAGAUCGGGAGGAACACCCGCGGCGCAGGCGGCCCGCUGGGCCACCCCUGACGCUGAGGCGCGAAGGCCAGGGGAGCGAACGGG
RNAcentral lists this ribosomal RNA (254 nucleotides) under uncultured bacterium. RNAcentral describes it as "partial 16S ribosomal RNA". It matches the Rfam family "Bacterial small subunit ribosomal RNA", at positions 524 to 776 of the family's 1533-position model. The record is from RNAcentral.